GAUGAAGAACGCAGCUAAAUGCGAUAAGUAAUGUGAAUUGCAGAAUUCAGUGAAUCAUCGAAUCUUUGAACGCACAUUGCGCCCGCCAGUAUUCUGGCGGGCAUGCCUGUUCGAGCGUCAUUUCAACCCUCAAGCACAGCUUGGUGUUGGGACUCGCGUUAAUUCGCGUUCCCCAAAUUGAUUGGCGGUCACGUCGAGCUUCCAUAGCGUAGUAGUAAAACCCUCGUUACUGGUAAUCGUCGCGGCCACGCCGUUAAACCCCAACUUCUGAAUGUUGACCUCGGAUCAGGUAGGAAUACCCGCUGAACUUAAGCAUAUCAAUAAGCGGAGGA
This 332-nucleotide unclassified non-coding RNA is filed under the name soil metagenome. RNAcentral's name for it is "partial contains 5.8S ribosomal RNA, internal transcribed spacer 2, and large subunit ribosomal RNA". The stretch from base 1 to 120 matches the Rfam family "5.8S ribosomal RNA", at positions 35 to 154 of the family's 154-position model. The record is from RNAcentral.